RNAcentral lists this ribosomal RNA (600 nucleotides) under uncultured archaeon. RNAcentral's name for it is "bacterial SSU rRNA". It matches the Rfam family "Archaeal small subunit ribosomal RNA", at positions 83 to 686 of the family's 1478-position model. The record is from RNAcentral.
GGACGGCUCGUUAACACGUGGUUAACAUACCCUCAGGUGGGGGAUAACCUUGGGAAACUGAGGAUAAUACCCCAUAGAAAAAGCAGUCUGGAACGAUUCUUUUUCGAAAGCAUAUGCGCCUGAGGAUUGGACUGCGCUCGAUUAGGUAGUUGGUGGGGUAAUGGCCUACCAAGCCUACGAUCGGUACGGGCCUUGAGAGAGGAAGCCCGGAGAUGGGGACUGAGACACGGCCCCAGGCCCUACGGGGCGCAGCAGGCGCGAAACCUCCGCAAUGCACGAAAGUGCGACGGGGGGAUCCCAAGUGCUCAUGCACAGCAUGGGCUUUUAUCAAGUGUAAACAGCUUGAGGAAUAAGGGCUGGGCAAGUUCGGUGCCAGCAGCCGCGGUAACACCGACGGCCCGAGUGGUGGCCACUUUUAUUGGGCCUAAAGCGUCCGUAGCCGGUCCAGUAAGUCCUUGUUUAAAUCCUGCGGCUUAGCCGCAGGACUGGCAGGGAUACUGCUGGACUUGGGACCGGGAGAGGACAAGGGUACUUCAGGGGUAGCGGUGAAAUGUGUUGAUCCUUGAAGGACCACCUAUGGCGAAGGCACUUGUCUGGAAC